GGUCCCAUCGUCUAGCUGGUUAGGACACAGCCCUCUCAAGGCUGGCGCACGGGUUCGAAUCCCGUUGGGACUG
Molecule: transfer RNA, 73 nt
Filed under: Verrucomicrobiia bacterium
Lineage: Bacteria; Pseudomonadati; Verrucomicrobiota; Verrucomicrobiia
Also listed under: 1 other name
Description: tRNA-Glu
Rfam family: tRNA
About the family: Transfer RNA (tRNA) molecules are approximately 80 nucleotides in length. Their secondary structure includes four short double-helical elements and three loops (D, anti-codon, and T loops).
Source: RNAcentral